This 75-nucleotide transfer RNA is filed under the name Chloroflexota bacterium. RNAcentral's name for it is "Chloroflexi bacterium (groundwater metagenome) tRNA-Asn". It matches the Rfam family "tRNA". From Rfam's summary of the family: Transfer RNA (tRNA) molecules are approximately 80 nucleotides in length. Their secondary structure includes four short double-helical elements and three loops (D, anti-codon, and T loops). Further hydrogen bonds mediate the characteristic L-shaped molecular structure. tRNAs have two regions of fundamental functional importance: the anti-codon, which is responsible for specific mRNA codon recognition, and the 3' end, to which the tRNAs corresponding amino acid is attached (by aminoacyl-tRNA synthetases). tRNAs cope with the degeneracy of the genetic code in two manners: having more than one tRNA (with a specific anti-codon) for a particular amino acid; and 'wobble' base-pairing, i.e. permitting non-standard base-pairing at the 3rd anti-codon position. Lineage: Bacteria; Bacillati; Chloroflexota. RNAcentral also lists the same sequence under 2 other names. The record is from RNAcentral.
UCCCCGAUAGCUCAAUGGUAGAGCGGGCGGCUGUUAACCGCUAGGUUCUAGGUUCGAGUCCUAGUCGGGGAGCCA